CAGUAGCCACGGUAAAACAGAGGAGGCAAGCGUUAUCCAGAAUGAUUGGGCGUAAAGCAUCUUUAGGUGGCUUUUCAAGUCCGCUGUCAAAUCCCAGGGCUCAACCCUGGACAGGCGGUGGAAACUACCAAGCUAGAGUACGGUAGGGGCAGAGGGAAUUUCCGGUGGAGCGGUGAAAUGCGUUGAGAUCGAAAAGAACACCAACGACGAAAGCACUCUGCUGGGUCGACACUGACACUGAGAGACGAAAGCUAGGGGAGCAAAUGGGAUUAGAUACCCCCGUAGUCCCUGUCUCUUAUAC
Molecule: ribosomal RNA, 301 nt
Filed under: uncultured bacterium
Lineage: Bacteria
Description: partial 16S ribosomal RNA
Rfam family: Bacterial small subunit ribosomal RNA
Source: RNAcentral